This 497-nucleotide ribosomal RNA is filed under the name uncultured bacterium. RNAcentral's name for it is "partial 16S ribosomal RNA". It matches the Rfam family "Bacterial small subunit ribosomal RNA", at positions 28 to 507 of the family's 1533-position model. The record is from RNAcentral.
GACGAACGCUGGCGGCGUGCCUAAUACAUGCAAGUUGAGCGCUGAAGGUUGGUACUUGUACCAACUGGAUGAGCAGCGAACGGGUGAGUAACGCGUGGGGAAUCUGCCUUUGAGCGGGGGACAAAAUUUGGAAACGAAUGCUAAUACCGCAUAAAAACUUUAAACACAAGUUUUAAGUUUGAAAGAUGCAAUUGCAUCACUCAAAGAUGAUCCCGCGUUGUAUUAGCUAGUUGGUGAGGUAAAGGCUCACCAAGGCGAUGAUACAUAGCCGACCUGAGAGGGGGAUCGGCCACAUUGGGACUGAGACACGGCCCAAACUCCUACGGGAGGCAGCGGUAGGGAAUCUUCGGAAAUGGCAGAAAGUCUGACCGAGCACCGCCGAGUGAGUGAAGAAGGUUAUCGGAUCGUAAAACUCCGUUGGUAGAGAAGAACGUUGGUGAGAGUGGAAAGCUCAUCAAGUGACGGUAACUAACCAGAAAGGGACGGCUAACUACGUG